This 752-nucleotide long non-coding RNA is filed under the name Heterocephalus glaber (naked mole-rat). RNAcentral's name for it is "lncRNA (ENSHGLG00000029823.2)". Lineage: Eukaryota; Metazoa; Chordata; Mammalia; Rodentia; Bathyergidae. The record is from RNAcentral.
AAUUACUGUUUGAGGACCAGCUUGCAAAAUUCUUGAAUAUUUAACCCCCAGGAUCAAGGAUGAGCUAGUCCUAGCCCUUCACUGUAAGUAAUACUGUAUCAAAUCUGCCCCUGACCCAAGGGUUUUGGUUUUCCAUCUUCAUGGAAAACUCUUCUCAAAUCCUUGUGGGAACAUUCUUUCACCUCCUUUAAAAACUGUUCUAUUAGGUACUCUGAUUUUUGUUUGUUUGUUUGUUUUUAGCCUCACUAAGUAGUGGCCUCAAAAUCACAGUGAUCCUCUUGCCUUGGCCACUGGAGUGCUGGGGUUGCAGGGAUCGAACUCGGGACCUUGCGCUUGUGAGGCAGGCACUUGAACCACUAAGCUAAAUCCCCGACCCCAUGACUGUAUUUCUUUGGAGAAAGAUGAUUGGCUGCAGAGGAGAAUUGAGUACAAGAAUGGAGAGAGAUAAGAGAUGAGAGAAUAAUUAGCAGGUGCCAUGAACUGUUUCUCCUCUGCGACAUCCCUCUGCCAUGUGCCACUCUGUCUUGGAGCCAGCUGAUUAUGGACUGAAACCUCUACAAACUUCUCUUCCCAACAGGAUCUACAUUCUACGACAGUAGACUUCCGUCUGUUUUGCUCACUGUAUCCUGUGUAUAGCACAGUGCCUGGCUCAGAGUAGAUUCGACAAAUAUUUGUUGAAGGAAUGAAUGAAUAUAUGAGUGAAAAGCCACUCAGCUGAUAAAUGGUGGAGGUAAGAUUCAAGUGUCCUGUUU